Molecule: long non-coding RNA, 1624 nt
Organism: Marmota monax (woodchuck)
Lineage: Eukaryota; Metazoa; Chordata; Mammalia; Rodentia; Sciuridae
Exons: 2
Source: RefSeq, a predicted model, not a curated record
CCAAGUAGGUAUGACAAUUUCCUUGCCAGCGUACCCCAUGUUGCUGACAUGUUGCAGUGACAUUGAAUGUAGGUGACCUUGCUCAAGGACCAAGGCAGAUUAGGGUGUUCCCGGUUUUAAGAUAAUCGUGUUUAGGGCGUUCCCAGUUUAGGUUCCAGGUUUAAGGUUUAAGAUUAUUCCUGCUGGGAAUAGGGCGUAUCCUGCUGCCUGAGUUCCCCUUGAGUUCUCACGGGAUUCAGACAGUAUAUUUUGGAGAUAGAAGCCCAGUGGAGGUGGAUUUGGGCAGAGAACGUGGAUUUCCCCAGAACGUGAUUGUAGACGGCUGGUGUGAGUUCGGGAAUAAAGAGUUGCUGUUUGAAUCUACAAGCUGUGUGGUGGCUCGUGAUUGUGUGCCCAGCCAGACUGCGGCAUUUGUGCCCAGCCAGACUGUGGCAUUUGGUGGCCCAUACGGGGAACUUCUGAAGCUUGGAGGGAGAACAGCAGCCGAUUUGGAUUCCAGAGAGAUUAACUAAAACAAUUUCUACAGAUCGAAAAGAAGAUAAUUUGACGCAAAUCCAUAACAGCUGAUAUCCAGAGCUCCAGCUUGGCCAUUCUUACAUCUGCGACAGUGAUUAACCAGUGAUAUAAUUUUUAUUUCCUUGCCAGCGCACCCCAUGUUAAUUGUGGUAGUGCUGACAUAUCUUUGCUGAUGGUGUCACCAGUGAUGCAAUUUUUCCCAAGGAGCCGUCAAUUGGCUUGGUGUCGUGGCAUUUCUGUAUCCUCCUCCCUUCUGCUAGUGAUGGUCUAAAAUUUGGGGGCCAAUGGCUUAUGCUGGACCGGUAGUCAGUGACGGGUAUGAUCCAAUUGCAGUGGUAUCAACCUAAGACAGGAGGCUGACGCCUAAAGGUCAGUUUUCCGAUGACGGGUAAGAACCAUAUGUUGAAUUGGACAACCUACCAGGCACGGUCCAUAAGCCACAUUAACCUCACUCCCCCACUGGCACCAAGGCCAAAUUUGGGGGCCAACAGAGGUGAGGCAAAGAACCUCACCCCCCCACUGGUGCAUAGACCUAUCCACAAGUAUGGCUGUAUGCUGGACUGGUAGUCAGUGACGGGUAUGAUUCAAUUGCAGUGGUAUCAACCUAAGACAGGAGGCUGACGCCUAAAGGUCAGUUUUCCGAUGACGGGUAAGAACCAUAUGUUGAAUUGGACAACCUACCAGGCACGGUCCUUAAGCCACAUUGCUUGUUGUUUAAUUAAUCAGAAGGGGGGAGAUGCUGGGAGCCAUUAGCCAAGUAGGUAUGACAAUUUCCUUGCCAGCGUACCCCAUGUUGCAGUGACAUUGAAUGUACGUGACCUUGCUCAAGGACCAAGGCAGAUUAGGGUGUUCCUGGUUUUAAGAUAAUCCUGUUUAGGGCGUUCCCAGUUUAGGUUCCAGGUUUAAGGUUUAAGAUUAUUCCUGCUGGGAAUAGGGUGUAUCCUGCUGCCUGAGUUCCCCUUGAGUUCUCACGGGAUUCAGACAGUAUAUUUUGGAGAUAGAAGCCCAGUGGAGGGGGAUUUGGGAAGAGAACGUGGAUUUCCCCAGAACGUGAUUGUAGACGGCUGGUGUGAGUUCGGGAAUAAAGAGUUGCUGUUUGAAUCUACAA